RNAcentral lists this long non-coding RNA (797 nucleotides) under Phascolarctos cinereus (koala). Its description in RNAcentral is "lncRNA (ENSPCIG00000035643.1)". The record is from RNAcentral. Lineage: Eukaryota; Metazoa; Chordata; Mammalia; Diprotodontia; Phascolarctidae.
UGGAAAUCUAAUAGACUGUGGGGUCCUUAAGAGUAAGAAUUUUCUUUUUCAUUUUGUCUUUGUAUUCCCAGAACCUAGGAAGGUGGGUUGGAAAUAGCAGAUGCUUAAUAAACCUCAGUGAAUUGAAUUAAAAUCCUUUUGCUUAUAAAAGUACACGGUAUAUUGAAAGGGAUACUCUUCUGGAGUGGACUAGGUAGGAAACUUCGCACAUCAUUAAUAUAUCAUAUUGAUAAUAAAAGAACAUGGUUCAUUUAUUUUUGACAGACUUGGUAUAUGUGAUGCUUGACAAUAGAUGGAAUUAGUUUAAACAAAGGCCCAUGUUCCUGCCCUGAAGAACUCACUGGAAGGACAAAGCAGUGCAGAGAAUGUAAAACAAACCUAAUGCAGAGCUUCCUGAGUCAGGAAAUGUAUGGAUACUCCAUCUUCAUGACCUCAGUGCCCAGAGGAGUGAUGGAGACAUGUAAAAGGCCUUAGACGUUAUGAAUUUGGUCAUACCAUUACUGACACAGGUCUAUCCCUAACUUGGAAAUCACCCUAGGGAUGGGGCUUACAAGUAACAACAAGAUCUUUUGAUGGGGAAGAGAGCCCUCCCAACCAGGGGAAUCAGGAAAGGCUUUUACAUAGAAGGCCCCACCAGAGCUGAGAGUUGAAUGGGAUGCUGUGAAUGGUGAAGGUAGGAAUACACCCAUGCAGAUAUAAAUAGGGUAGAUUACUGUGGCUCCUCACACAAAGGAUCAGUUUUUCUCCCUGUCUCUAUGGUAUCUUUCAAUAAAGCAAAGAGAUCAUAACUGAAACCA